CUUGUUUCAAGAAUUAUUGCCCCUUUUGGACUAAGAAAAUCAGAUUUCUUGGUUAAGCUUUCUGUUUAGGUCAGCUUUUCUCCUAAACUAUUCAAGCUAUUGCUUUGAAACUUGCAACAGUUGUUCACCAUCAUAAGCUGACUCUGUACAUCAAGAGACAUAACUCCAUCCCGCUUUUUGCAACAACUAUGACCCUUUUUGGACUAAGAAAAUCAUUGAUAGGACAAUUUUUCUAUUAUACAAAAAAAUCAGAUGAGCGUCAGCACCCACAAGGCAGUGCUCUUGUUUAGCUCACCUGUCACAUAAUGACAGGGUGAGCUUUUGUGAUCACCCUUCAUCCGUUCACAACUUCCUUGUGAACACGAUAGAGACCACAUUUUGUAUUUGAUUUUAAUCAAAAUUGCACACAAUUUGUAUUAGCAUAAUAUCUCAGUUCCUUUCAAAAACUGGCCAGGUCCCAUCAUUGGUUCCAGAGUUAUGGAACCGUAAAUGGCCAAAAUUUGUCAUUUUUGGCUUCUGAACACGAUAGAGACCACAAUUUUUAAUAAACUUUAAUCAAGCUUGCACACAACUUAUAUUGGCGUAAUAUCUCGGUUCCUUUUGAAAACUGGCUAGAUCCCUAAUGGGUUCUCGAGUUACGGCCCCUGAAAGGGCCAAAGAUUUGCUAUUUUUGGCUUAUAAACACGAUAGAGACAACAUUUUGCAAUCAACUUAAAUCAAACUUGUACACAACUUGUAUUAGCAUAAUAUUUUGGUUCACUUUGAAAACUUGCCAGAUCCCAUCAUGGGUUCCAGAGUUAUGGCCCCUUAAAGGGCCAACAUUUGCAAUUUUGGCUUCUGCAGCCAUAUAGAGACUUCAUGUAUGGUUUGAUUUGAUACAAACUUGCAAAAUAUCUUCAACAACAAUAAAUCUUGGAUUCCGUGAUGGAACUGUCAGAUCCAAUUAUAGAUUCUGGAGUUACGGCCCCUGAUUGACCCCUAAAAGAGCCAAAACUUGGUAAUUUUUACCUUGUGAACAUGAUAGAAGUGACAUUUUGUAUUUGAUUUUAACCACACUUUUACACAACUUAAGUCACAAUAAGAUCUUGGUUCCUUUCAAAAACCAGCUAAAUUCUAUCAUGGGUUCUAGAUUUACUGUCCCUGAAAGGGACAAAAUAUUCUAUUUUGGCCAUCUCAGACAUAUUGAGGUUUCAUUUAUGCUCUGAUUUGAUACAAACUUGCACAGAAUGAUUACCUUGAUGAUCUCUAGGCCUGGAUUGAAACUGGGUCAUGUCAAGUCAAAAACUAGGUCAUUAGGUUAGAUCCAAGAAAGUUUGUUAACAACCUAGAGGCCACAUUUAUGACCCUAUCUUCAUGAAACUUGGUCAAAAUGUUUAUCUUGAUGAUUCCUAGGCCAAGUUUGAAACUGGGUCAUAUGGUGUCAAAAACUAGGUUACCCAGUAAAAUCAAAGGAAACACUUGCUAACACUCUUGUUCAGUUGAUGUGCAAGAAACUUGGUCAGAAUGUCUGUCUGCAUGAAAUAUGUAUGAAUUUUUAUCUGGGUCAUGUGGGGUCAAAAACUAGGUCAUCAGGUCAAAUCAAAGAAUAAGCUUGUUUACAACCUAGGGGCACAUUUUUGCUUCUGUCUUCAUAAAUUUUGGCCAGAAUGUUUGUUAUCAUGAAGUCUUGGACAAUUUUAAAUCUGGGUCAUGUGGGGUCAAAAACUAGGGUCAGAUCAUAGGAAAAGCUCGUAUAGGCUCUAGAGGCCACUUUUUUUGCUCAAAUCUUCCUGAAACUUUGUCAGAAUGUUUGUUUCAUGAAAUUUUGGACAAGUUCAAAUAUGGGUCAUGUUGGGUAAAGGUCACUAAGGUAUGUGUUUUGGUCCAAUCUUAAUGAAAAAUGGUCAGAAUAUUUGUCUUCAUGAAAUCACUGGGUAAAACAUGUUUACACUGUUAUGUAGUGUUACACAGUUGAGCGACCCAGGGCCAUCUUGGCCCUCUUGUUUACCUUAUAUCAGUCAUUUUGUUUUACUGCACAUAUGGAACAAUAUGGGUGUCUUUAAAUCAACACAACUUUUUUAUUGCCUCUCUUUUCAGGAACUUAAGAUAUUUAAUUUAAUUUUUACAGAAUAGGGGUGUAUCUGUAUUUAAUUUUAAAGUAUCGUGUUUCUGUUACUGUUGUGUGGAAUGUGUUUUUAACAUGUUUUGUAUGAAUAAAUACUCAUCAUUUUACUUGUUGAUUUUAUCAUAUGUAAUGAUUUGUUAUAGACUUAUUAUGAUUUGUGGCAUACUGGAAUAUUUUGUUUAAGGAUGUUAUAAAAAGUCCAAAAUACAGAGCUAGAAAAAGAA
Molecule: long non-coding RNA, 2328 nt
Organism: Mercenaria mercenaria
Lineage: Eukaryota; Metazoa; Mollusca; Bivalvia; Venerida; Veneridae
Exons: 2
Source: RefSeq, a predicted model, not a curated record